Amblyraja radiata (thorny skate) is the source of this 149-nucleotide long non-coding RNA. RefSeq lists it as uncharacterized. The record is from RefSeq and is a predicted model, not a curated record. Lineage: Eukaryota; Metazoa; Chordata; Chondrichthyes; Rajiformes; Rajidae. The transcript is spliced from 3 exons.
UUGUUUGAAGUUUUAAGCAUGUCUUGUGGGAUUUCAAUUUCAUCGUCUUCAUUCUUCAAAAUCUUGUCUUCUCCAACUUUCAACAAAAAUUGAGAAUAGUCGCCUUCUCCCUCUGUCAAUCGCAUAUUUGUGUGCAAUUGAAACUUGGU